Molecule: ribosomal RNA, 408 nt
Filed under: uncultured bacterium
Lineage: Bacteria
Description: bacterial SSU rRNA
Rfam family: Bacterial small subunit ribosomal RNA
Source: RNAcentral
GUGCCAGCAGCCGCGGUAAUACGGAGGAUCCGAGCGUUAUCCGGAUUUAUUGGGUUUAAAGGGUGCGCAGGCGGCCUUGCAAGUCAGCGGUCAAAUCGUGGAGCUCAACUCCAUUCCGCCGUUGAUACUGCCGGGCUUGAUUGCGGUUGAGGUUGGCGGAAUUCGUCGUGUAGCGGUGAAAUGCAUAGAUAUGACGAAGAACCCCGAUUGCGUAGGCAGCUGACCAAGCCGUAAAUGACGCUCAUGCACGAAAGUGCGGGGAUCGAACAGGAUUAGAUACCCUGGUAGUCCGCACAGUAAACGAUGAAUACUUGCUUUUGGCGAUACACUGUCAGAGGCAAAGCGAAAGCGAUAAGUAUUCCACCUGGGGAGUACGCCGGCAACGGUGAAACUCAAAGGAAUUGACGG